AAGUCGUAACAAGGUUUCCGUAGGUGAACCUGCGGAAGGAUCAUUCAUAAUAAGUGUUUUAUGGCACUUUUUUAAUUCCAUAUCCACCUUGUGUGCACCGAAACAAAAUAUGUUUUGAAAGUGCUUUUGGUCUUUGCAUAAAGAUUGUCUUUUUCAAGGCCAAAAGGCAACUUUCUCUCUCUUCCCUUUUUUUUAACGUGUCUAAGAAUAAAAAAGUCCGGAAAUUCAUAAAAAUGAAAAUAUAUAUAUAUAUAUAAACGACUUCCAGCAACGGAUCUCAAGGCUCUU
This 288-nucleotide unclassified non-coding RNA is filed under the name Mortierella sp. Its description in RNAcentral is "partial internal transcribed spacer region". The stretch from base 1 to 46 matches the Rfam family "Eukaryotic small subunit ribosomal RNA", at positions 1786 to 1831 of the family's 1831-position model. Lineage: Eukaryota; Fungi; Mortierellomycota; Mortierellomycetes; Mortierellales; Mortierellaceae. The record is from RNAcentral.